AUCACAUUUAUUCCUGCAAAAUGCUUGUUUUCACGAAAUUGCAUUGAACCUUAAGCACUGAGUCUGCGCAUGCGCCAAUCAAUCUAUCGUCAGCGUCGAGAAGGGGCGAUGUACAAGCGAUCUUUGGCAACUUGUGGGAAAUAUCUUAGCUGCUUCAACUGGGACACACGGAUAAAAAUGUCUUGUAUUUGUGUGAAUGGGACCUUGAAAGGACUUCCUACAAGCAUGAAUCAGUGAGGGAGGUAAGUUUGGGAACCCAGCCAGACAUGGGAGGGGGUCCAGCGUGUGGAGGCAUCCCAUUUUUGGGCAUUGAAUCCAUUCGAAAUGAGGAGAAAAUCACAAAAAAAUAUUUUCAUGUAAGGAAAUAUGAGCUACACUGUAUUUGAAAAGCUGUCAUUAUCACAAUAUCAGUGUGUUUCUCACAUUUUCUCUCAUUGGUUAAAAUACUUUAUUAGAUUCACAUUACCGCUUCUACUCAAUGCUUUGGAAAGAUCUAGUGUCUGCUUUUCAUACAAAUGUACCAACUUCAGCAGAGACAGGAUGUGGAGACUGGGACACAGGAAAAAGCGGGGGUGGGGUCACCUGGGCGUUGACGCUCGCUAGUUCAAAGGAGAUGUCCAAUCCUGACGGUCCCGCCCCCAGCACCACCACUGAUUGGCCAGCGAAAGGGUCUGGGUAGCGAUAGGAGUGGCUGUGUAACAGGGUGCCUGUAGGGGGCGACAGAGAGGAGCAGCCUCAGGCCCUGAUCCUAGUGAACAAAUUCAGCCAAACACAGAAAAACUUUUCACAAUCUGCAUACAGCACAUACCCAGCCAGAAUAAUGUGUUGUACUGGGUACACUUACAAGAGAGUGCUCCUCAAAGCUUGACAAAGACCUCCUAAUGACGUAGGUCUAAUGAGCUCAUCUCCUGUUUCAUAUGAAAAGUACACAAGUCUGGCAUCCAUGGAUUUUGUCCACCACAAUUUUGUGAUUUCAAAUUCAGUCGUACGCAUAUUUGUGCAAGUGCCUGUCCUCUGUUAGUCCAGCACGGCAGUAUGUCCGCGGUGUUCCCACCUUUUAAACUUAAUGUUGAGUUGGCGUACACUGUGAUUUUUGUGCGUUUCCCUGUGCCUUAAUCUCCUAUAGUUCAUUGCCAAUCUUGGCUAUGAUACUUCACCUGUACCUUAAUGAGCAUCUUAUUCACCCGUAUCUUUAGUAGUAAUAUUAUUUGAAUUGCAUUGCAAACCCAAAUAUGAAGACUGGUUUUUUGGUUUUAAAAAAGUUGGAUCAAGCUGUCUUUACAGCAUUUAUUAAUAUCGCAAUAAUCAUAAGACAUAAGAACAACGUAUGCGCCUGAUGAAAUUUGGAGAAAAUUUCCUUUAAUUCUCCAGAGGAGGAACAGCCAACCUUAAAGGCAUUCAGAGGAGCACAGAGGAGAAAAGCACACUAAAGCUCACACUCGGGAUGAUCGGUGUUGUCCUUUCUUCAGUGGCUACCCAAGAAAAUGAGCCUGGAGGAUUGCGGCUAUACCCAAGAAAACGAGCCUGGAGGACUGCAGCUAUACCCAAGAAAACAAGCCUGGAGGACUGCAGCUAUACCCAAGACAACAAGCCUGGAGGACUGCAGCUAUACCCAAGAAAACAAGCCUGGAGGACUGCAGCUAUACC
Long non-coding RNA from Anguilla rostrata (American eel), 1647 nucleotides. RefSeq lists it as uncharacterized. NCBI's taxonomy places the organism in Eukaryota, Metazoa, Chordata, Actinopteri, Anguilliformes, Anguillidae. The record is from RefSeq and is a predicted model, not a curated record. The transcript is spliced from 2 exons.